GGGUUGCUGACGUACACAGGUUGUAUGAAUAGAGGCCUGAAAUGACAACUGGUGGAUCAGAGCUGAGGACUGCCCAGGGGCACAGGCAGAGCUGGAAGCAGGCUCUCCCAAGCUUCCCUGAGCAGGGUCUGGCAGCACAGAGCAAGACCAGAACAUAGCCCUGUGCCAUAGGCAGGUACCAGUGCAAGCCCAGUGAGGCCUGGUGCUUCUUGGACCAGCUGCAAACCACCCACACAUUAUCAGAAACAGGUGAACUCAUUAGACUUUCUGAUUUAAGCUUUUCCUCUGUAUUUUCUAAGAUAGAAAUACUUUGCAAUGGAGCAAGGCCUCCUUCCUUUCCUUCUCCAGGGCACAACCUGUUCUCCAGUUGUUAAAUUAAGAAGACAGAUGUGUCAGGUUUGGAGAUUCAUUCCUCCAGUACCUGGGAAGCUAUAAACUGAAAUGGCACAUACAAUAACAGGAGUGCUUGCCUGAGAACUUACUCUAGAGAGGUUCCACUCAGAGAGUUAGUGGAGUCUCCCUUGGAGGUAUUCAAGUCUCACCUGGAUGCUUUCCUGUGUGACCGACAAUAGGGAGCCUGCUUUGGAAAGGGGUGGACAAGAUGGUCUC
This 609-nucleotide long non-coding RNA is filed under the name Phasianus colchicus (ring-necked pheasant). RNAcentral describes it as "lncRNA (ENSPCLG00000016967.1)". Lineage: Eukaryota; Metazoa; Chordata; Aves; Galliformes; Phasianidae. The record is from RNAcentral.